RNAcentral lists this ribosomal RNA (458 nucleotides) under uncultured bacterium. RNAcentral's name for it is "partial 16S ribosomal RNA". It matches the Rfam family "Bacterial small subunit ribosomal RNA", at positions 338 to 795 of the family's 1533-position model. The record is from RNAcentral.
CCUACGGGGGGCAGCAGUGAGGAAUAUUGGUCAAUGGGCGAGAGCCUGAACCAGCCAAGUCGCGUGAGGGAGUACUGCCCUAUGGGUUGUAAACCUCUUUUGUCGGGGAGCAAAAGCCGGACGUGUCCGGCUGUGAGAGUACCCGAAGAAAAAGCAUCGGCUAACUCCGUGCCAGCAGCCGCGGUAAUACGGAGGAUGCGAGCGUUAUCCGGAUUUAUUGGGUUUAAAGGGUGCGCAGGCGGGUUUUUAAGUUAGCGGUAAAAUCGUGGGGCUCAACCCCAUCCAGCCGUUGAAACUGGGGAUCUAGAGUGUGCGAGAGGUAUGCGGAAUGCGUGGUGUAGCGGUGAAAUGCAUAGAUAUCACGCAGAACCCCGAUUGCGAAGGCAGCAUACCGGUGCACAACUGACGCUCAGGCACGAAAGCGUGGGUAUCGAACAGGAUUAGAUACCCGGGUAGUC